GGUUAAGCGACUAAGCGUACACGGUGGAUGCCCUGGCAGUCAGAGGCGAUGAAGGGCGUGCUAAUCUGCGAUAAGCGCCGGUAAGGUGAUAUGAACCGUUAUAACCGGCGAUACCCGAAUGGGGAAACCCAGUGUGACUCGUCACACUAUCAUUAACUGAAUCCAUAGGUUAAUGAGGCGAACCGGGGGAACUGAAACAUCUAAGUACCCCGAGGAAAAGAAAUCAACCGAGAUUCCCCCAGUAGCGGCGAGCGAACGGGGAGAAGCCCAGAGCCUGAAUCAGCAUGUGUGUUAGUGGAAGCGUCUGGAAAGGCGUGCGAUACAGGGUGACAGCCCCGUACACAAAAGCGCAUGUGCUGUGAGCUCGAUGAGUAGGGCGGGACACGUGGUAUCCUGUCUGAAUAUGGGGGGACCAUCCUCCAAGGCUAAAUACUCCUGACUGACCGAUAGUGAACCAGUACCGUGAGGGAAAGGCGAAAAGAACCCCGGCGAGGGGAGUGAAAAAGAACCUGAAACCGUGUACGUACAAGCAGUGGGAGCCCCACCACCAAAGCAUUCUCUGGUGUUGAAGGCCCUGCAAAGCAGCAUCGCGGUGGCGGAGCGUCGUUUGCGACGCCCAACACACAAAACAAGCGGUGAGUGCUUUGGGGUGGGGUGACUGCGUACCUUUUGUAUAAUGGGUCAGCGACUUAUAUUCUGUAGCA
Molecule: ribosomal RNA, 704 nt
Filed under: Salmonella enterica subsp. enterica serovar Wien
Lineage: Bacteria; Pseudomonadati; Pseudomonadota; Gammaproteobacteria; Enterobacterales; Enterobacteriaceae
Description: partial 23S ribosomal RNA
Rfam family: Bacterial large subunit ribosomal RNA
Source: RNAcentral